GACGAACGCUGGCGGCGUGCUUAACACAUGCAAGUCGAACGGAAAUGCCCUGCUUUCGUGGGGUGCUCGAGUCGCGAACGGGUGUGUCACACGUGUGUACCCCGCCCUUCACUUCGGGAUAACUUCACGAAACUGGGGCUAAUACCGGAUAUUAGCUCCUGCCGCAUGGUGGGGGUUGGAAAGUUUCGGUGGUUGGGUAUGGACUCGCGGCUUAUCCGCUUGUUGGUGGGGUAGUGGCUUACCAUGGCAUUGACGGGUCGCCGGGCUGAGAGGGUGACCGGGCUAAGGGGGACUGAGAUACGGCACGGAGCACUGGGGGAGGCAGCAGUGGGGAAGAUUGCACGAUGGACGGAAGCCUGAUGCGGCAUGGCGGCGUGCGGGAUGUAGGCCUUCGGGGUGUAGGCCGAUUGCGCCUGUGACGAAGCGUGGUUGACGGUAAUGGGUUAAGAAGCGCCGGCUAACUACGUG
RNAcentral lists this ribosomal RNA (468 nucleotides) under uncultured bacterium. RNAcentral describes it as "partial 16S ribosomal RNA". It matches the Rfam family "Bacterial small subunit ribosomal RNA", at positions 28 to 507 of the family's 1533-position model. The record is from RNAcentral.